GUGCUUGCUUCAGCAGCACAUAUACUAAAACUGAAAUGAUACAGAGAUGAUUAGUAUGACCCCUGCACAAGGAUUACAUGAAAAUUUGUGAAGUGUUCUGUAUUUCU
Molecule: small nuclear RNA, 107 nt
Organism: Piliocolobus tephrosceles (Ugandan red Colobus)
Lineage: Eukaryota; Metazoa; Chordata; Mammalia; Primates; Cercopithecidae
Source: Ensembl